GAGGACGCCACGGCUCAGCGCCCCGCCAGCCUCAUGAUCGAGCGCUGCCCUGGGGGCAGGGCUGACCCAGAGCCAGCGGCUCGUGAGUGACAGCCCCCCGACCACGGCCCUUCUCGGGGAGCGGGCCAGCCGCCGGGGUCCCAGCCUGCGGGGUCCGCCCGCGCUUCUGUCCUCCCGGGCGUGCGUGUCCGGGUCUCGGCCGGUUCCCCGUCGGCGACGCCACGAGUCUGCGGGCCCGCGGGGGGGAGCCGCGCACCGGCCCCCGGCCAACCCCAGUUCGACGACGUGUUGGGCGUCUCACUCCGGGUGGGUUCCGCGGCGGGGUGUAUUUAUGGAGCAUUUAAGAAAUAUCUCCGUCGGGACGGCCGGAAGGAAAGAGGCCAGAGGCGCGGAGGCCGGCUAGAGCCGGGAACGAACGUCCGACCGGGAGGACCCGUCCCUGCUCCUGACCAUCACCGUCAUUGGGGUCACUGUGCUCGUGAUGGUCCUGAAGAGCAUGAACUCCAGGAGGAGAGAGCCAAUCACCUUACAGGACCCUGAAGCCAAGUACCCGCUGCCCUUGAUUGAGAAAGAGAAAAUCAGCCACAACACCCGGAGGUUCCGCUUUGGACUGCCUUCGCCGGACCAUGUCUUAGGGCUUCCUGUAGGUAACUAUGUCCAGCUCUUGGCGAAAAUUGGCAAUGAAUUGGUGGUCAGGGCUUACACCCCUGUCUCCAGUGAUGAUGACAGAGGCUUUGUGGACCUAAUUAUAAAGAUCUACUUCAAAAAUGUACACCCCCAAUAUCCUGAAGGUGGGAAGAUGACUCCGUAUUUGGAGAACAUGAAAAUCGGGGAGACCAUCUUUUUUCGAGGGCCAAAGGGACGCUUGUUUUACCAUGGGCCAGGGAAUCUUGGAAUCAGACCAGACCAGACGAGUGAGCCUAAAAAAAAACUGGCCGAUCACCUGGGAAUGAUUGCUGGGGGCACAGGCAUCACACCCAUGUUGCAGCUCAUUCGCCACAUCACCAAGGACCCCAGUGACAUGACCAGGAUGUCCCUCAUCUUUGCCAACCAGACAGAGGAGGAUAUCUUGGUCAGAAAAGAGCUUGAAGAAAUUGCCAGGACUCACCCAGACCAGUUCGACCUGUGGUACACCCUGGACAGGCCUCCCAUUGGCUGGAAGUACAGCUCAGGCUUCGUUACUGCCGACAUGAUCAAGGAGCACCUUCCUCCUCCAGGGAAGUCCACGCUCAUCCUGGUGUGUGGCCCGCCACCGCUGAUCCAGACGGCGGCUCACCCUAACCUGGAGAAGCUGGGUUAUACCCAGGACAUGAUUUUCACCUACUAACACCUCCAUGUGCUCAGCAAAUCUGCAUGUCCCUUUUCAUCUGUUUCAGACAGGUUUUAUGAACUAACAGCUCUUCCCCUCGAGUGUGAGAGCCUCCAGGCUGUCACCAGGAAUAGCACGAGCCAUCGAGUCUGUGUGCUGAUAUGACACUGCCCUCCCACAAAGUGGUCUGCAGUCCAUGUAUUAAGAGUACAAAAGGUAUGAAGCCUGCGGUGAAGAGCGCGGCAUGGUUGAAGACACACAUGGACCCUGGGGCCACCCCUGGACACCUGUCCCACAGCUCUGCCUCAUGCCUGUCAGCAGCCUGUCUGAGACACCCUGCCAGCCCGGACUGGGCUUGCAGAGGGGGCUGUGUGCCCGCUCCCCACAGAAGCAAAGGCUCCGGGGCCCCCACACGUGCCUCCCUACGCUCUCAGCCACGAAGAAAGUCAUCUCCAGUCAUCAGAGUUGGGGGCAGGCAGGCGAGAGUCAUUCAGCAGCUGGUCCUGGCUCAGCAUUGUCUGAAAAGGACACAGCCGAAGGGUCAGUUUAAUAGAGUUUUGGUCCAGGCUGCCCUGCGGCAGCUGCACCGGAACUAGAGGGCACUGGCUGAGGGCUGCAUCUGACACAGGUGCACUAUAAGUUUAUAGUGUCCCAAGAAACCCUGAGUAUUGGGUCAGAAUAAACAACACUAUUAAGAUAAAAAUAAAUUGUUCAUCUUAGAAAUAAAUUUUCUAUUUUCAGGCCACCAAAGGCCUAGAUCAUAAGGGCAAGUGUGGGCAGAUUCCUUUCAUGGGUGGGCCAAUAAAUAAAAACGUUGAGUAAAAGUGA
RNA transcript from Pan troglodytes (chimpanzee), 2137 nucleotides. It is a transcript of the gene named cytochrome b5 reductase 2, with no coding region annotated. The record is from RefSeq and is a predicted model, not a curated record. The transcript has 10 exons. NCBI's taxonomy places the organism in Eukaryota, Metazoa, Chordata, Mammalia, Primates, Hominidae.